This 31-nucleotide non-coding RNA is filed under the name Rattus norvegicus (Norway rat). Lineage: Eukaryota; Metazoa; Chordata; Mammalia; Rodentia; Muridae. The record is from RNAcentral.
UUCCAGCUAGUUAAUUGUGACAUGUAGUGCC